GGCGGCAUGGCCAAGUGGCUAAGGCGACGGUCUGCAAAACCGGUAUCGGCGGUUCAAAUCCGCCUGCCGCCUCCA
This 75-nucleotide transfer RNA is filed under the name Deltaproteobacteria bacterium. RNAcentral's name for it is "tRNA-Cys". It matches the Rfam family "tRNA". From Rfam's summary of the family: Transfer RNA (tRNA) molecules are approximately 80 nucleotides in length. Lineage: Bacteria; Pseudomonadati; Myxococcota; Myxococcia. The record is from RNAcentral.